Coturnix japonica (Japanese quail) is the source of this 1067-nucleotide non-coding RNA. Lineage: Eukaryota; Metazoa; Chordata; Aves; Galliformes; Phasianidae. The record is from RefSeq and is a predicted model, not a curated record.
UGGGGCACUGCUGGUGGGAUGAUGCCUUUGGAUGUCCCUGCUUCAAGCUCCGGCUCAAGGCGGAGCCAAAGAGACCAGCGUGCUCAGGGCUGAUUACCUGGGUUUUAGACAUCUGCAAGGAUGCAGAUUGCUCACCCUCUCUGCAAACCUGCUCUCAUGCUUAGCCACAUGCAUAGCAAAGAAAUUUUUCCAAAUUUCCUUUGACUCAUGGAAUAAUUUAGGUCAUGAUGACUAACACAAUCUCAUGACAAGAGAGGCAUCUUUUCCUUGAUGUGCGUGCACUUGUACUUACAGCGAUAUCAGCUUAAUGGCUGUGCCUGCACAGGAGAAAGUGGGGCUCUGGGUAUGUGAUACAAGGUGUCUGAAAAAUGCCAGCAACAGUGGUGGUAUGGGGAAUGCUCCAGAAGCCUGAGCUUGAUUUUGUUACACUAAUAUUUUAACCACAAAAAUCCUCUUCCAUUUGCUUAUUUGCCAUCUAUAUCACAGUAGCUGCUGCCCACGUCUGUCAGCUGAAGAUGCUCCCAUCACACAGAACUUGCCCACAAGGUAGGAGAUUGCAGAAAACACUGAAACAGUCAUAAUGCUUUUGUGGCAGGGUUCCUGCUACCUACCCACAACUACAAUACACCCCAGUUCCUAAAACAUUGCCAUCUGACACCUUCAUAAUUCCCCUCAGGCCUGGUGCCUCCCCCAGGAGAGUGCUAUCAGUGACAUCCCAGCAGUUCAUUUUGCGAUGGACUAAGGCACAGGAAAGUCACUCCUUAGCCGAGCGCUAGAGGAAAUGGAAAUGCUGCCACCACCACUUGUUCGUUCCUGGGCAAAAUGCCACUGAGAGUGAUGGGCUGCACAAGGCUGGUGGCCCACAGGAUUGCAGAACUCACAGGAGAUGCAUAUCUGCAUUGAGCUGGAGCAUUGCACCACUGUGGCCAUAGCCUCUGUGAUGAGAUUUUUAUUCGGAUCGUUGAGAUAUUUCUCUGACAUUGGCCUCCUGAGGUGCAUAUCUCAUGUAUUUGAUUGAAGUCCAGAGACAGAGUCUAAUAAAACCCAAUCCAUCUCCUUCUGAGUUA